This 253-nucleotide ribosomal RNA is filed under the name uncultured bacterium. RNAcentral's name for it is "partial 16S ribosomal RNA". It matches the Rfam family "Bacterial small subunit ribosomal RNA", at positions 524 to 776 of the family's 1533-position model. The record is from RNAcentral.
UACGGGGGGGGCAAGCGUUGUUCGGAAUUACUGGGCGUAAAGGGCUCGUAGGUGGCCAACUAAGUCAGACGUGAAAUCCCCAGGCUCAACUUGGGAACUGCGUCUGAUACUGGAUGGCUUGAAUUCGGGAGAGGGAUGCAGAAUUCCAGGUGUAGCGGUGAAAUGCGUAGAGAUGUGGAGGAACACCGAUGGCGAAGGCAGCCUCCUGGGCCAGCACUGACGCUCAUGCACGAAAGCGUGGGGAGCAAACAGG